Molecule: ribosomal RNA, 468 nt
Filed under: uncultured bacterium
Lineage: Bacteria
Description: partial 16S ribosomal RNA
Rfam family: Bacterial small subunit ribosomal RNA
Source: RNAcentral
GACGAACGCUGGCGGCGUGCUUAACACAUGCAAGUCGAACGGAAAGGCCCUGCUUUUGUGGGGUGCUCGAGUGGCGAACGGGUGAGUAACACGUGAGUAACCUGCCCUUGACUUUGGGAUAACUUCAGGAAACUGGGGCUACUACCGGAUAGGAGCUCCUGCUGCAUGGUGGGGGUUGGAAAGUUUCGGCGGUUGGGGAUGGACUCGCGGCUUAUCAGCUUGUUGGUGGGGUAGUGGCUUACCAAGGCUUUGACGGGUAGCCGGCCUGAGAGGGUGACCGGCCACAUUGGGACUGAGAUACGGCCCAGACGCCUACGGGAGGCAGCAGGGGGGAAUAUUGCACAAUGGGCGGAAGCCUGAUGCAGCAACGCCGCGUGCGGGAUGACGGCCUUCGGGGUGUAAACCGCUUUCGCCUGUGACGAAGCGUGAGUGACGGUAAUGGGUAAAGAAGCACCGGCUAACUACGUG